GGGCAAUAUGUCUGCACCGUCAGCAACGACGUGAACUCUGUCAAUGUUACAUUUAACGUAACAGUCCAAGAAAACUUCAUUCCGUUCAUUAUAGGUGCUGUAGUAGCUGCUGUGGUUGUGAUUUUGAUCGGCUCAGGAAUCAUCUACAGUUUUUAUUACAAACAGAACAAGAUGGGAGAAUACCGACCAACAGAUGCUCUCUGUUUGGACACAAUGCAUCACACCGCAGUUCCUCUUUGUUAGUAGAUGGUUUCAGUGUUGUGAGAAAGUUACAGGAACUCUUUGUAUCUGGAAUCUGGAGGUUACAUGUUUUACACUCAAGCUGGCAUGGAUUACAGUUAUUUCCUCUCGACUAUUUGUUCUUUGAUGGUAUUUUUGAAUCAUCUUUGUUCCUUUUUUCUCUUUUUCUGCAGAAAACAUCCAACCGCACGGAGUAGGUGGCACAGUUGCUGUUGUGGUUCUGCUUUUGAUCACUGUUGCCAUUGCAGUUGCCAUUGCAGUCUACAUCUUGUACUACAAACCAAAGAAAAUGAGAGAGAGCCAACAUUCACCAUUUGGACACAGUGCGUCACAGAGGGAAAAUCUGAGGCUGGAAGAUGCCUAGGUCCAGUGACACGGAGUCAGCUUGGUGUUGUUGCAAGUUCUUCCAUUUCCAAUGAAGGACAAAUUCUGCUUCCUGCGUGGAUGUGUUAACUUGCUCCUUCUUGGACGGUUGGGUUGCAGUUUUCCGUUGUUUGGUUAAAACUUAUGUUUCUAUUUAGCUCAUUUCCUUGCUGCUAAUGUUUGUCCAUGUUAGCUAAGACCAUUGUAACGACUAUGUUAGAAGUUCUAUGAACAAUUUAAUUCGGACUGUACAUUGGUAAUAUGUCUUAGUGGUGGGAAACGUCUUACUUUGCGACGUAGACGUAGGAUUUUAAAUGAUUUCCUCUUCAUUUUUGCCAUCUUAAAACCUCUGUCUUAAAAAUAUCUGUCUGCUUCAUGUUGAUUGGAUGAUCUAAAACUGGUUACUAAACAUUUUAUAUGUCAGUAAAUACUGUAUCCAGAGUCCUUUGUUGUCUCUUAUGCUCUUUUCUGUCUAGCCUUUCUUUAUAAAAUUAAUAGCUGUCUUUCCAUUACAAAUGAACGCAAAAUUUCGCAAUUUCAGUGAUUUCAUGAAAUAAAAAUCAGUUUUGCGAAAUACAUUAAUUUUGAUGCGACUAAAAAAAAACAUCCUCAUCUUAGCGCAAAAUCUUUUUAUCGAGAAACGUGAGAUUUUUUUUUAAUACUCAUGUUUAAUGAGUGGGAUUGUUUUUUCUAACUGUGUUCACAAAUACAAUUUUAAAAUUAUUUUUAUAAUUCUAAUUUGCGCAAUUAUACGGUCACUGGUCAGGAAUUACUGAUGGCUCAUCUGGUUUCUGGAAGUAAUCAUUCUAAGACAUUAAAUAAAUUACUCUUCCAUUCUAUUUUCUCAUGUUCAUGUCCAAAUUUUUGGCUUGUUAAGCCUGUUUUGUGCUCUGACUUACUCAGCCGAAUGUAAAAUUUUGUUUAAAACGGGCAUGAACUGAGUGGAGCAUGAAGCAAUUAUAAUCCUUUCUACUUUAUGAUGUAAUAAACAAACGUGACGCCCUGAUGGAAGAGUAUAGAUGAGACAUUUUCUUACAAAUCACUUUGAUAUAUUUUCUACUCGUUUCUAAGUUCAGAAACUAACAGUUGUUGAUCACUGUGGUUUAUUUUUGAACUAUUGACCUUUAUGUGAAAAGUCCCCUCCCUUUCCCCCCUCUGUUUGCUUUGGCUUCCUCUUGCGGAGAAAACAACAAACCAGCCAUCUGUAUUUCAAUGCAGGUAUAAUUUAAUCUGUCUUACAUCAUCUUGCUCUGUGUUUAAACUUUAAUGUGAGACUAGUUGUAGAGAAAAAUGUGAGUGAUCUGCAUUGUUUUCUGUCGACCCCAGCUCUGCUGAUAAAGUGUUUGUUAAAACUCUCCGACUCGUUGAUCUGCAGGUUUUUGUUUGUGGUGAACAGAACAGAUUCAAACCAUCAGCCAGACUCUGUAUCAUGUGGUUUGAUUAAAGGAUUUAUGUUA
This is a non-coding RNA of Poecilia reticulata (guppy), 2060 nucleotides long. The record is from RefSeq and is a predicted model, not a curated record. Lineage: Eukaryota; Metazoa; Chordata; Actinopteri; Cyprinodontiformes; Poeciliidae.